GAAAAGUGUUUUUUUUUUUUUAAUUAACGAUGACACAUUUUGUUUUUAAACUGAUUGCGAAAAUCUCUCAGGCUUCCCCCACUCCCUGCCUACUUUGUUUUUCUAAAUUAAACCCAGAAGCAUGAACAUAUAUAUAAAACAAAAAAAGACUACAACAUAAAAACAACUCACUGUAACUAGGCAACCUAAAAUAUGAGUCACAACCGCGCCCUUUUGUCCGCCACCCCCUCACCGCCCAGCCCCACCCAGUUUACUCUGAAUCUUUUUAAACUUCUCGUUUCCUCUGAAAUCCAGCCCAUUCGCACUCAUCCGGUGCGUGUCAUAUUUGCUUUGUAUCCCCGUCGACUAUGCAAAGAAAAGUACUAUUUCUAAGUAUUAUGUUUGAAAAAUUAACGUGUACAUUACAAAAAUGUGCAUCAGGCAUGCUACGUGUAUAAUGUUAGUAGUCCCACAGCAAGCGUUUGCAUUUAUCGAAGUAUGCCAAUCUGACCGACUUCAGAUUUGGUAACAGAAAUAUUGAAAUACGAUGGUCUUUGGCGACUUGAUCAAAGCAGCAUAUCAGGCGUACAUUUCAAUAAUCAGUCACGUUUAAUGGUUGCGUCGAGUCUUGGGCUUAAACUACAGCUGGCAGCUCUGCGCUCGACGCCGCCAUUUUCUGUUAUUGGCGCGCGCAGUGCGAGGCGGCGUUUCUGCGAAUCACAGAAACUGAAGAAAACGGCAACCAAGACCUUGCACGUGCCAGCCCCAGCUUCGGUGGACUGACGUCAGCGUCGCGCGUACCAUAACGAAUAACGGAGGUAAGAGUCCAAAUACUUCUGCUGAAGAGUUGAACAUUUUAAUCCAUAUAACCAAUUUUUAAACUUUUAAAGCUGGCUACGGACCUGACUGGGAAGAAGCUUAGAAGAAAGCUGAAGAAGUUAGCAAGAUGACCGAUAGACUGAUCCAAUAUGUUCCUCAUAACUUCAGACGAAAACCCAGGAAGAGACCAAAUACUAAGGACAUGUGGAAUGUAGCAUCAUAAUAUGGCUCCAUAGUUCCCGAAUGCAGAGAUCACCAUCAUUAAUAGGCCAAGAACGAUCAACAGGGUCACCACUGAAGGAGAAAGCAGAAAAAACUCACAUUGGUACACGAAAAAAACAUACUACUUCAAAAACAUGAGUAAAAAAAAAAUAUAUCUUAAAUAAAUGUGAACUAUGUUAAAUACCUAAA
This is a non-coding RNA of Paramormyrops kingsleyae, 1209 nucleotides long. The record is from RefSeq and is a predicted model, not a curated record. Lineage: Eukaryota; Metazoa; Chordata; Actinopteri; Osteoglossiformes; Mormyridae.